RNAcentral lists this ribosomal RNA (840 nucleotides) under uncultured bacterium. Its description in RNAcentral is "bacterial SSU rRNA". It matches the Rfam family "Bacterial small subunit ribosomal RNA", at positions 8 to 841 of the family's 1533-position model. The record is from RNAcentral.
AGAGUUUGCUUUUGGCUCAGGACGAACGCUGGCGGCGUGCCUAACACAUGCAAGUCGAACGAGAAUCUUUGGAAUGAUUCUUUCGGGAUGAAUUCCAAAGAGGAAAGUGGCGGACGGGCGAGUAACGCGUGAGUAACCUGCCCAUAAGAGGGGGAUAAUCCAUGGAAACGUGGACUAAUACCGCAUAUUGUAGUUAAGUUGCAUGACUUGAUUAUGAAAGAUUUAUCGCUUAUGGAUGGACUCGCGUCAGAUUAGAUAGUUGGUGAGGUAACGGCUCACCAAGUCAACGAUCUGUAGCCGAACUGAGAGGUUGAUCGGCCGCAUUGGGACUGAGACACGGCCCAGACUCCUACGGGAGGCAGCAGUGGGGAAUAUUGCGCAAUGGGGGCAACCCUGACGCAGCAACGCCGCGUGCAGGAAGAAGGUCUUCGGAUUGUAAACUGUUGUCGCAAGGGAAGAAGACAGUGACGGUACCUUGUGAGAAAGUCACGGCUAACUACGUGCCAGCAGCCGCGGUAAUACGUAGGUGACAAGCGUUGUCCGGAUUUACUGGGUGUAAAGGGCGCGUAGGCGGACUGUCAAGUCAGUCGUGAAAUACCGGGGCUUAACCCCGGGGCUGCGAUUGAAACUGACAGCCUUGAGUAUCGGAGAGGAAAGCGGAAUUCCUAGUGUAGCGGUGAAAUGCGUAGAUAUUAGGAGGAACACCAGUGGCGAAGGCGGCUUUCUGGACGACAACUGACGCUGAGGCGCGAAAGUGUGGGGAGCAAACAGGAUUAGAUACCCUGGUAGUCUACACCGUAAACGAUGGAAACUUAGGGGGUAGGAGGGAUCCACCCCUUC